AGGCCGGCCUGGAACGCGUGGACGCGAGAUGCCCGAUGGGAGUGAAAGAGACCAACGUGAGCGAAACUUCUCACCUUACGCUCAUUUCUGAGCACGAAAUGCGUCGCUGUGGGAGUUCGGCAAAAACAAAAGAUAAAACGUGAGAAUGUGGAUACUUUACUCUCCCGGUUUCGGCAGAGAGGAAAAAAGUUGCGGAACGAAAGCGAUGGCGAUAUGCCAGAGCACAGCAGAAAUAUUACUAUUUACUUCAACUUUUUUUUUGUUAAAAUUUAAUACUGUGCACAAGAGUGUUCUUAGUUGCAUUCAACAACAAUUGAGUAGAGCAACAAAAUUAACAAACACACUUUGUUGUAGCGGAACAAAAUGCUAUCAAAAUGUUUAAGUUUUUUAGCAUAAAAAUAAUCAUUUUCUAAAUUAUUUAAAAAGUUUAAUAAAUGAUUAUGAGAUUUUUAGACAAUUUUGUACAAAAUUUAAAUCGUUACAAUUUUAAAAACUAAAAACUGACUUUUUUGUCAAAAAGUAAAGACCCUCUUUUCGUGCAGGAAAUCCACAGGUCGCGUUACACCAAAUGUCCUUUUAACAGUGUUGCCAGAUUUUUAGUUCGUUUUGGGCCUCUGUGCAUGAUCAAUCUUGAACACCUAAUUUAUAAUUUAGGUAGGUCAAAUUUGUGAAGAGUGUGAACAAAUUUGAUGGUGCACAUUUUAAAACCAUCAUCGCCUUAACAUGAAUAAUCGAUGUGUCUGCACGUUCUACUUAAAAAAUGAAACCAACAACGAAAAAGAGUUGCUUACAGAGUUCAGCCUCAUGGAUGCAUUCCUGACCCUGAAGAUUUCUUAUCGAUACUGCUGCUGCUCGUAUCCUUUUCCAGUGACUGUCCCUUGCUUUAUAGACCAUUCGGUUUAUAUAAAUUUUCGGCGCAUUUGGGUUCUUGCUCGAUGCGCAGCCACACCAUCCAUAAAUAGCAGGUAGAAAAGGAAGAAUUUCCUUUCUAUUCUGUAAUCUAAUGGCACACAUUCACACGGAGGCGGACAAACAGAUGCACCAGCCACUCCAGCGUCGAUAGCUCCGGAGGGCUGACUCCUACCCGUAGGGACGUUCCAGUUGCCAUUUCUUAGGGUAGGUCUUUGGUUCAUUAUGAGAAUACCUGUGUUUUGAGGAUGCAACAAGAACGUUCUCUAGAACUACGAGACCUUCCCAGCUCGCAUUCGAAGCAGUGUUUUCCUUUUUUUUUUUUUAACCGAGCAGUGGCCUGGAGAACCUGGUUUAGCUCGAGAUUUUGCUUUCUCUUUUUCCAGAUUCUGGUUCUGGAACAAGAGGAAGGCCAGAGAAAGACAACCACCAACACAAAACUGCUUCUCUGCCAACGCUCCUGACGUAUUCAAACAGCAAAA
Long non-coding RNA from Anopheles stephensi (Asian malaria mosquito), 1391 nucleotides. RefSeq lists it as uncharacterized. The transcript has 3 exons. The record is from RefSeq and is a predicted model, not a curated record. NCBI's taxonomy places the organism in Eukaryota, Metazoa, Arthropoda, Insecta, Diptera, Culicidae.